Molecule: long non-coding RNA, 257 nt
Organism: Leptopilina heterotoma
Lineage: Eukaryota; Metazoa; Arthropoda; Insecta; Hymenoptera; Figitidae
Exons: 3
Source: RefSeq, a predicted model, not a curated record
GAAGUGAUCCUCUUCUUCCAAUAAAUUCCAUUAUCGGUCCAGAAACUAUGGCUCCAAUUGGCGUUGCCAAACUGUGCACUGAUGCUGUAAUUUUAUUCAAAUUUACAGUUCACUUCUAGUGCAGACUUUGAACGAAACUCCAGUGAAUUGGUUUUAUAUGCUUUUAGUAUUUUGGCUUGACAGUGGCGAAUUUUCUUCAAAUUCUUUUGUUCUGUUGAUCAGGACAAGAAUUAAUGGAUCAGGCGAUUGAAGUUGGA